UUCAAUUUGGCAGAUAAAUGCAAUAAAUUUAGAAUUUAUUUAUGAAUUUUCAAUUGAAA
RNAcentral lists this transfer RNA (59 nucleotides) under Amblyomma maculatum (Gulf Coast tick). Its description in RNAcentral is "tRNA-Leu". RNAcentral also lists the same sequence under 1 other name. The record is from RNAcentral. Lineage: Eukaryota; Metazoa; Arthropoda; Arachnida; Ixodida; Ixodidae.